AGUGAACGCUGGCGGUAGGCCUAACACAUGCAAGUCGAACGGCAGCACAGUAAGAGCUUGCUCUUACGGGUGGCGAGUGGCGGACGGGUGAGGAAUACAUCGGAAUCUACUUUUUCUUGGGGGAUAACGUAGGGAAACUGACGCUAAUACCGCAUACGACCUACGGGUGAAAGCAGGAGAUCUUCGGACCUUUCCCGAUUGUAUGAGCCGAUGUCGGAUUAGCUAGUUGGCGGGGUAAAGGCCCACCAAGGCGACGAUCCGUAGCUGGUCUGAGAGGAUGAUCGGCCACACUGGAACUGAGACACGGUCCAGACUCCUACGGGAGGCAGCAGUAGGGAAUAUUGGGCAAUGGGCGCAAGCCUGAUCGAGCCAUACCGCGUGAGUGAUGAAGGUCUUCGGGUUGUAAAACCCUUUUGUUGGGAAAGAAAAGCUGCAGAUUAAUACACCGCUGUUUUGACGGUACCCAAAGAAAAAGCAACGGCUAACUUCGUG
Molecule: ribosomal RNA, 492 nt
Filed under: uncultured bacterium
Lineage: Bacteria
Description: partial 16S ribosomal RNA
Rfam family: Bacterial small subunit ribosomal RNA
Source: RNAcentral